CCUAUGGGUUGUAAACUGCUUUUGCAGGGGAAUAAACCUCGAUACGUGUAUCGAGUUGAAUGUACCUUGAGAAUAAGGAUCGGCUAACUCCGUUCCCAGCAGCCGCGGUAAUACGGGAGGAUCCAAGCGUUAUCCGGAUUUAUUGGGUUUAAAGGGUGCGUAAGGCGGCUUUUUAAGUCAGGGGUGAAAGACGGUAGCUCAACUUAUCGCAGUGCCCUUGAUACUGAAGAGCUUGAAUGUACUUGAGGUAGGCGGAAUGUGACAAGUAGCGGUGAAAUGCAUAGAUAUGUCACAGAACACCAAUUGCGAAGGCAGCUUACUAAAGUAUGAUUGACGCUGAGGCACGAAAGCGUGGGGAUCAAACAGGAUUAGAUACCCUGGUAGUCCACGCCCUAAACGAUGAACACUCGAUGUUGGCGAUAUACGGUCAGCGUCUAAGCGAAAGCGUUAAGUGUUCCACCCUGGGGAGUACGCCCGCAAGGGUGAAACUCAAAGGAAUUGACGGGGGCCCGGCAACAAGCGGAGGAGCAUGUGGUUUAAUUCGAUGAUACGCGAGGAACCUUACUCCGGGCUUGAAAGUUAUGGAAUCCUGCUGAGAGGUGGGAGUGCCCGAAAGGGAACCAAAACACAGGUGCUGCAUGGCUGUCGUCAGCUCGUGUCGUGAAAUGUUGGGUUAACUCCCGCAACGAGCGCAACCCUUGUCCCUAGUUGCUACGCAUUUAAGAUGCGGACUCUAAACAGACUGCCUAUGGCAAAUAGAGAGGAAGGAGGGGACGACGUCAAGUCAUCAUGGCCCUUACGUCCGUAGGGCUACACACGUGCAUACAAUGGAUCGGAUACAGAGGGUCAGCUAACCCUGGCAACAUGGAUGCCAAUCUCAUAAAGUCGAUUCACAGUUCGGAUCGGGGUCUGCAACUCGACCCCGUGAAGUUGGAUUCGCUAGUAAUCGCGUAUCAGCAAUGACGCGGUGAAUACGUUCCCGGGCCUUGUACACACCGCCCGUCACAGCCAUGGAAGUCUGGAAGUGCCUGAAGUGCGUAACCGCAAGGAGCGUCCUAGGGUAAAGUCGGUAACUGGGGCUAAGUCGUAACAAGGUAGCCGUACCGGAAGGUGUGGCUGGGUU
RNAcentral lists this ribosomal RNA (1123 nucleotides) under Mucilaginibacter sp. A112B3. RNAcentral describes it as "bacterial SSU rRNA". It matches the Rfam family "Bacterial small subunit ribosomal RNA", at positions 415 to 1521 of the family's 1533-position model. The record is from RNAcentral. Lineage: Bacteria; Pseudomonadati; Bacteroidota; Sphingobacteriia; Sphingobacteriales; Sphingobacteriaceae.